GACGAACGCUGGCGGCGUGCCUAAUACAUGCAAGUCGAACGCACGUAGUUGAAGAGCUUGCUCUUUAACCAAGUGAGUGGCGGACGGGUGAGUAACACGUGGGUAACCUGCCCAUUAGAGGGGGAUAACAUUCGGAAACGGAUGCUAAUACCGCAUAGUUUCAGGAAUCGCACGAUUCUUGAAGGAAAGGUGGCUUCGGCUACCACUAAUGGAUGGACCCGCGGCGUAUUAGCUAGUUGGUGAGGUAAUGGCUCACCAAGGCAAUGAUACGUAGCCGACCUGAGAGGGUGAUCGGCCACACUGGGACUGAGACACGGCCCAGACUCCUACGGGAGGCAGCAGUAGGGAAUCUUCCGCAAUGGACGAAAGUCUGACGGAGCAACGCCGCGUGAGUGAAGAAGGUUUUCGGAUCGUAAAACUCUGUUGUUAAAGAAGAACAAGGAUGAGAGUAACUGCUCAUCCCCUGACGGUAUUUAACCAGAAAGCCACGGCUAACUACGUGCCAGCAGCCGCGGUAAUACGUAGGUGGCAAGCGUUGUCCGGAUUUAUUGGGCGUAAAGCGAGCGCAGGCGGUUCUUUAAGUCUGAUGUGAAAGCCCCCGGCUCAACCGGGGAGGGUCAUUGGAAACUGGAGAACUUGAGUGCAGAAGAGGAGAGUGGAAUUCCACGUGUAGCGGUGAAAUGCGUAGAUAUGUGGAGGAACACCAGUGGCGAAGGCGACUCUCUUGUCUGUAACUGACGCUGAGGCUCGAAAGCGGGGGAGCAAACAGG
Molecule: ribosomal RNA, 770 nt
Filed under: uncultured Vagococcus sp.
Lineage: Bacteria; Bacillati; Bacillota; Bacilli; Lactobacillales; Enterococcaceae
Description: bacterial SSU rRNA
Rfam family: Bacterial small subunit ribosomal RNA
Source: RNAcentral